RNAcentral lists this small nuclear RNA (107 nucleotides) under Neotoma lepida (desert woodrat). The record is from RNAcentral. Lineage: Eukaryota; Metazoa; Chordata; Mammalia; Rodentia; Cricetidae.
GCCCUCACCUCUGCAGCACAUGUGCUAAAAAUGGAAUUAUACAGAGAAGACUGGCAUGGCGCCUGUGCAAAGACAACACACAAAUUAGUGAAGCGUUUCAUAAUUUU